This 460-nucleotide ribosomal RNA is filed under the name uncultured bacterium. Its description in RNAcentral is "partial 16S ribosomal RNA". It matches the Rfam family "Bacterial small subunit ribosomal RNA", at positions 338 to 795 of the family's 1533-position model. The record is from RNAcentral.
CCUACGGGAGGCAGCAGUGAGGAAUAUUGGUCAAUGGACGAGCGUCUGAACCAGCCAAGUAGCGUGAAGGAUGACUGCCCUAUGGGUUGUAAACUUCUUUUAUAUGGGAAUAAAACGUUCCACGUGUGGGAUUUUGUAUGUACCAUAUGAAUAAGGAUCGGCUAACUCCGUGCCAGCAGCCGCGGUAAUACGGAGGAUCCGAGCGUUAUCCGGAUUUAUUGGGUUUAAAGGGAGCGUAGGUGGAUUGUUAAGUCAGUUGUGAAAGUUUGCGGCUCAACCGUAAAAUUGCAGUUGAAACUGGCAGUCUUGAGUACAGUAGAGGUGGGCGGAAUUCGUGGUGUAGCGGUGAAAUGCUUAGAUAUCACGAAGAACUCCGAUUGCGAAGGCAGUUCACUGGACUGCAACUGACACUGAGGCUCGAAAGUGUGGGUAUCAAACAGGAUUAGAUACCCGUGUAGUC